GUAGUCAUAUGCUUGUCUCAAAGAUUAAGCCAUGCAUGUCUAAGUACACGCCUUUACACGGCAAAACUGCGAAUGGCUCAUUAAAUCAGUUAUGGUUCCUUAGAUCGUACAAUCCUACUUGGAUAACUGUGGCAAUUCUAGAGCUAAUACAUGCAACACAGCUCCGACCUAGCGGGAAGAGCGCUUUUGUUAGCACAAAACCAAUCCGGUCCUAGCGGCCGGUUAAAAAUGGUGACUCUGAACAACUUUGUGCCGAUCGUAUGCCCUUGCGGCGACGACGCAUCUUUCAAAUGUCUGCCCUAUCAACUGUCGAUGGUACGUGCUAUGCCUACCAUGGUGAUAACGGGUAACGGGGAAUCAGGGUUCGAUUCCGGAGAGGGAGCAUGAGAUACGGCUACCACAUCCAAGGAAGGCAGCAGGCGCGCAAAUUACCCACUCCCGACACGGGGAGGUAGUGACGAAAAAUAACAAUACGGGACUCUUUCGAGGCCCCGUAAUUGGAAUGAGUACACUUUAAAUCCUUUAACGAGGAUCAAUUGGAGGGCAAGUCUGGUG
RNAcentral lists this ribosomal RNA (555 nucleotides) under Pliocardia sp. 10 aff. venusta SBJ-2017. RNAcentral describes it as "SSU rRNA". It matches the Rfam family "Eukaryotic small subunit ribosomal RNA", at positions 20 to 566 of the family's 1831-position model. The record is from RNAcentral. Lineage: Eukaryota; Metazoa; Mollusca; Bivalvia; Venerida; Vesicomyidae.